UACGGAGGGUGCAAGCGUUAUCCGGAAUUACUGGGUUUAAAGGGUGCGUAGGCGGCAACGUAAGUCAGAAGUGAAAUCUCUCGGCUCAACUGAGGAACUGCUUUUGAUACUGCGUAGCUUGAAUAAGGUUGAGGUUAGCGGAAUGUGGCAUGUAGCGGUGAAAUGCUUAGAUAUGCCAUAGAACACCAAUUGCGAAGGCAGCUGGCUAGACCUUUAUUGACGCUGAGGCACGAAAGCGUGGGGAGCGAACAGG
This 253-nucleotide ribosomal RNA is filed under the name uncultured bacterium. RNAcentral's name for it is "partial 16S ribosomal RNA". It matches the Rfam family "Bacterial small subunit ribosomal RNA", at positions 524 to 776 of the family's 1533-position model. The record is from RNAcentral.